CCUACGGGUGGCAGCAGUGGGGAAUAUUGCACAAUGGGGGAAACCCUGAUGCAGCGACGCCGCGUGAGUGAAGAAGUAAUUCGUUACGUAAAGCUCUAUCAGCAGGGAAGAAAAUGACGGUACCUGAGUAAGAAGCCCCGGCGAACUACGUGCCAGCAGCCGCGGUAAUACGUAGGGGGCAAGCGUUCUCCGGAUUUACUGGGUGUACCGGGAGCGUAGACGGGGCGCCAAGUCUGGAGUGAAAUGCCGCCGCUUAACUGCGGAACGGCUUUUGAAACUGGCGAACUAGCGUGCGGGUGUGGUAGGCUGACUUCCUGUUGUCGCGGUUAAAUGCGUAGAUCUUAGGCG
Molecule: ribosomal RNA, 348 nt
Filed under: uncultured bacterium
Lineage: Bacteria
Description: partial 16S ribosomal RNA
Rfam family: Bacterial small subunit ribosomal RNA
Source: RNAcentral